Molecule: long non-coding RNA, 1649 nt
Organism: Pseudophryne corroboree (corroboree frog)
Lineage: Eukaryota; Metazoa; Chordata; Amphibia; Anura; Myobatrachidae
Exons: 3
Source: RefSeq, a predicted model, not a curated record
UUUGUGUACACUGAGCCAUCAAAAAACAAAGGUUUCACUAUCUCAGUCUCACUCAAAAAAGUCCGUAUUUCGGAAUAUUCCGUAUUUCGGAAUAUUUGGAUAUGGGAUACUCAACCUGUAGUAUAAUAUUGUGCAUUAUGCGCCUUUGUGUAUGGAUUAUUUGGUGAAAUUGUUUCUUAUUUAAAGUAUACAUACCCAAUGAAGUCAGGCAGAAAAGCAUAAGCAUCGUUUAGUUUACUUCUCAUCAGGUUCCACAUAUGUUUACAUCACAAUAAGGAAUUUGCAUAAACAUAUCAACAAAAUAGUAUGUUCAUAAGGACAUUCUUCAUAUUUCUACAGUACGAAAGAGAAGCAGCACAGCCAGGCCACAUCCAACACUGCCAAGAGAUGCAGAUGGUGGCAAUGCAGGUUCUUCUUCUGCAAACCCCCCUCCACUAAGGCGCCCAUCACAGGGCUCGGUUACUGUGGCUAGGAGGCCAACCAAGAGACGCCGGUUUGAGGCUGAAUCUCCAGCACCAGCAUCACCACCACCCCAACGGCGCAUCUCCGCAGUGUCGGCCCUGCCACCACUAGCUCUUUUGGCCAGCCCACAAAGUGAGGAUCCACAAUCCCCUCAGUUGUCUGACCCAGCCAUCAUCACCGAGGAUGUCCAGCAGGAAAGUGACCAGCAGGAUACUUUCACACUACACCUGCAGGCCAUCGAUCCUACCCAGCCAACCACGCCGCAGGACAUACCCCAACCACCCCAAACAUCCCACAGCCCCCAAUUGAGCACAACACCACCCCAGACACAAAUGGGCCCUGAGUUUUGAAGCCGUUGGGCCACACAACAGGAGCAACACUAUGCGUGCCUCAACACCCACAGCCAAUACCUGUCAAGUCUGCCCCAUCAUCUGCCUAGACUGAGUCGCAACUCAGGCAGACUUAUAGUGCAGGUGGGCAGAAUUGCCAACUCAAUGGAGCAGAUGAGGGCAGACAACAGCCAAAUGCAAGCAAACCUCCAACGCAUCAUGGAUGAACAACAGCGGCAGCAACAAUCCCUAAUCCAGCUAAUACAACACAACCAAAUUAUCAACAACAACCUCUCAAGAAUAAUAGCAAGCAACACUGCCGCUAAUACGCAACUCACUGCAAGCUUAAACAUACUUAGUCAAAGCCUUAAUGUGUUGGCAUCACACCAAGUCACCUCUAGCUCGUGGACAACUACACCAAGCCAGACCCCAGUUCAAUCCCCAGUUAGACGCUCAAGUCGAACCCGGACCAACGAGCCAGCCCAAUCCUCGGCACCCAGCACACACACAAGAAAAAAAAAAAAUCAAGCCUGCUGAUAAUAGUUUGUACAUUAAAAAAUGAUGUUUAUUUGUUUGAACAAAAAUGCCUGUGUUCAACUUGGGCCAGAUGUCUAUUGGUAUAAAUGUAUUGCCUGCCCCUAGGUGGCCUCAGCUCAACGUGUGUGUAAUCUAUGGCACCCAGCACAUUGGGCAUGGCCGCAAGCUCAGAGAAAGCUACCCUGACUGCAUGCUACUGCGACUCCUGGGUAGGGAAGCAGAGAGAGGCAUCUAUGUGGCCAUCCAAGACAUCCAAAACCUGAGUGGACAUUCCUAAAUUAAAGGUGAGCGUCAUGACCUGUAAUCAAUACAAUACUGUGU